Lathyrus oleraceus (garden pea) is the source of this 1318-nucleotide long non-coding RNA. RefSeq lists it as uncharacterized. The record is from RefSeq and is a predicted model, not a curated record. The transcript has 3 exons. Lineage: Eukaryota; Viridiplantae; Streptophyta; Magnoliopsida; Fabales; Fabaceae.
GAAAGUGAAUACACUUCAACAUCCACAAUUCAAAAUGGAAAACUAAAUGCGCCAAACAUCAAGGGAACAUCAAGACUCAGGUUGGCCAUGAACCACCACCAACCACCGUGCCAGAGGUUGCCUCCGACAACGGUGGUGUCAGAAAACUCAAAUUAAGAUCACCAUUCAAUAUGCAAUAUCGAGUUGAUCAUGGAUAUGGAAGUGAAAUUGCAAAAUUCUCAAAGGAGAACUCAAAUCGAGGGGAAGCAUGUCAAGAACCCUAGAAGCUUAAAGUUAAAUUAAAUGGUGGUUACGAGGAAUCAAGCCCUAGGACCUUAGGGCUUUAAUUCCUCUUGUGAAAGCUUACAUGAUGGUAACUAGCGAUUGAAGAAAAGGUGGAGAUUUGAGGUUAGCCUAUCGGAGAAGAAGAUCAGAAAAAGCAUCUCAGGUGAGUUCUUUCCUUCCUCUUUGACUUUUCUGUCUCGAAUUCUCCUCUUCUUCUUUGUUCUUCUUCUUGAAAUGUGGAUGAGUGAAUUUAGUUGAAUGGAGUUGAAUUCCUCAAGGGUAAGGUUUUGAUGAUGGAGGUUAAUGGAGGUUCUGUUUAAGUGGUUGAAGGUGAGAACUUUCAGAGGUUUGAGAGAUUCAAGAAGAGUGAUUUUGAGAAUUUGUGAGGAUGAAGUGAUUUAGAGAUUUUUCGAGAUGAAUGACCCAGGUUGUGAUUGCGUUCUGAUUCCUCCUCUAUGAUUCAGGUGCAUGGUCAUGAUGCAAGGUUUGUGUGUUGCAGACAUGGUCCAUUGCUUGGUCUUCUAGGCAUAUGUCUGGUUUCUGCCAUGGUUUCAAGGACAAGGUGUGCUGGAGGCUGGUUGUAUUAGUAGGCCAUGGUUGCAUGACAAGUAACAUGGUGGCUUAGAAAUGUUGGAAACAUGCUUUCUUGUACAUGUAAUGUAAUGUUUGACCGUAUUGGAAUGUAUUGUAGUGUAUUGGGACCUGUUUGCAUAAUACUUGAACAUGCUUGGAUUUGACUUGGUUGGUUUUAUAGGUUUGUGGACAUGAACAUGAACAUGUAUAAUGGAAACUUAUAUUUGAAGCAACCAUGGUAAAAGCAAGUAAAUAUGGCUUUUGGAUGAUUGAAUCAAGGCCAAUGGGAUGAGAUUAGGUCUUAGGGUGGUCAAGGGGGGUCAGAUAACUUUGGUCAACUGAUUGACCAAAAAGUCAAUUGUUUGACCAAAAGUCAACUGUUGUCAUUUUUGUCAAACUUGUAUUUUUUUAUGUUAUGGAUUUUCUUGUAAUGAAAUGGACAUUUGGUAUUUGGUAUAUGGAAAUGAUAUUUGAAUGUGAA